CAGUAGCCGCGGGAAUACGUAGGUGGCAAGCGUUGUCCGGAAUUAUUGGGCGUAAAGGGCUCGCAGGCGGUUUCUUAAGUCUGAUGUGAAAGCCCCCGGCUCAACCGGGGAGGGCCAUUGGAAACUGGGAAACUUGAGUGCAGAAGAGGAGAGUGGAAUUCCACGUGUAGCGGUGAAAUGCGUAGAGAUGUGGAGGAGCACCAGUGGCGAAGGCGACUCUCUGGUCUGUAACUGACGCUGAGGAGCGAAAGCGUGGGGAGCGAACAGGAUUAGAUACCCCAGUAGUCCCUGUCUCUUAUAC
This 301-nucleotide ribosomal RNA is filed under the name uncultured bacterium. RNAcentral describes it as "partial 16S ribosomal RNA". It matches the Rfam family "Bacterial small subunit ribosomal RNA", at positions 509 to 807 of the family's 1533-position model. The record is from RNAcentral.